Molecule: non-coding RNA, 91 nt
Organism: Canis lupus familiaris (dog)
Lineage: Eukaryota; Metazoa; Chordata; Mammalia; Carnivora; Canidae
Source: Rfam
GGGGGGAGGCCGGAUCCUGGGCUGUGUCCCGGCGCCCUGUGCUCCGGCGCCUGCGCUGUUGGAUUCGCGCUCCCGGGCCGCUCAACCCCCU